GUUUGUGAAUACGAUAUCGAAAUGGAGAGAUACAAAUGUCUGAAGUGGCACUGCUCAAGCUGCCAAGCAGGCAGCUUACCUACGUGCUUGGAGAAUUGAGGCGGUGGUCCUAUAAGUUGUAUUUAUCCCUUAUAUUUCGUCAAUAUCCAAAGAUCAAUUACUGAAAAACACUCUCAAACUCUUCAACAACAACCAAGGUUCCAAGAACUAAACUCAAUAGAAAUCAACACAAAUCAUCAUCGUUCAUAUAUCUUUCAGGAGCAGUCGUGUGGUUUUCCCAGAGAUCGCCGUGAGUUCUUUGCCAAAUUAGGUGGAGUGGGGAAGAUUAGAACUAUUUUCAUCUUGAAUCUAGCACCCUCACAAGGUACUAUUCCUCAUAAAAGAAUUUUACGAAAGCUGGCACCCUUGGUGCGUGAUAGCUACGUAAUAUCCUUAGUUUCAUCCUUUUUAAAGAUACCAGUUUAUGACCAAAAUGGAAUUAAUUGUUCUAUUACGGAAGUAGGGAUCCCACACGCUGGGUUAAUCACUAAGGUCUUAUACAAUUUUAUGUUGGAUGAUUGGUGGGGAAUAUUAGAAUUGUUUUCAUCUUGAAUCUAGCACCCUCACAAGGUACUAUUCCUCAUAAAAGAAUUUUACGAAAGAUGGCACCCUUGGUGCGUGAUAGCUACGUAAUAUCCUUAGUUUCAUCCCUUUUAAAGGUGUUAAAGACUUCAAGAGAAUACUUCUAUAAUGUUUUGGUGUGAUUGAGGGUUACUGUGAGCUAAGUUAAAAUGGGGUUUGAGUUGUAGCUGUCGUCCAAGGUAUGUAUAACAUCUUCUUGAUUGUACCAAAGGUUAAUCUUGUGUUUUUUGUGUUGUUUGAGUGAAAAACCAUAACAUGUACUUGAAGGAAUAUAUGAUACGAUUGUCUUUUUGGUUGGACUAUUUUGUGGUUAAAAAUAUGGUUUGUGGUAGUUGAAAAUUGUGAGAAAUACUUUGAUAAUGUUGUAUCUUAUGUUGUUAAGAUUUCCUAUGUGUUAAUUAAGUUGAUUGAAGAAGAAAAGAUGAAAAACAAAUAAUUGACGAUAAAAAUUAAGGUACUAGACGUAUGAGGCUGUUUUGAAAGUCAUUUUGUGGAGGUUUUAAACUAGAAAUAAUAUGGCACAUAUAAGUAUUAUGCUCUAAAUGUUGUAAACUAGUUUAUGGAAUAAGAGUUGGUUUUCAUUUAUAACUUGUUAUGAGUAAAAGAAACGAGCUUGCUGCUCAAUAUGAUUGUUAAGAUAAUCGGAGAAACUCAUAUUGGAUUGUAUUAUUGUUGUUAAUAGUGUUGUUUAUAAUUGUUGUUGUUGGGUUGUUGAUGAACCUUAAUGGUCUUUGAGAUAUGCUAAAAUAGGGGAGUUGCUUCCUGAUUUUUCUUACGUCAUACGACUAGCCAAAUACGAUG
RNAcentral lists this long non-coding RNA (1422 nucleotides) under Nicotiana benthamiana. Its description in RNAcentral is "long non-coding RNA (NBEN_LNC032185)". Lineage: Eukaryota; Viridiplantae; Streptophyta; Magnoliopsida; Solanales; Solanaceae. The record is from RNAcentral.